RNAcentral lists this long non-coding RNA (221 nucleotides) under Manihot esculenta (cassava). Its description in RNAcentral is "long non-coding RNA (MESC_LNC007327)". The record is from RNAcentral. Lineage: Eukaryota; Viridiplantae; Streptophyta; Magnoliopsida; Malpighiales; Euphorbiaceae.
UCAAACCUUAGAACCUUAGGAUAAACACAUUCAUGCAUCAACCAUUCCUUAAACCCCUUUAAAAACUUGCUGGAAAUUCUCAGAAAACCGAAGGAAAGCAAAGAUUGAACUUACCUCUUGAAGGACAAGGGAAACACAGCAAUCAAAGCUUGUAGAAGAGGGAAAAAAAUGACUCUCAGAAGGUCUCCUCGGUUUAAAACCCCCAUAUUCGAACUCCAACU